AGAGUUUGAUCAUGGCUCAGAACGAACGCUGGCGGCAUGCCUAACACAUGCAAGUCGAACGCUCUCGGGAUUUCGGUUUCGAGGGAGUGGCGCACGGGUGAGUAGCGCGUGGGAACCUGCCCUGUUGUGGGGGAUAACCGAGGGAAACUUCGGCUAAUACCGCAUGCGCCCCCGGGUCUGGUCUUCGGAUUGGUCCUGGGGGGAAAGAUUGAUUCGCAGCAGGAGGGGCCCGCGUCGGAUUAGCUGGUUGGUGGGGUAACGGCCUACCAAGGCGUCGAUCCGUAGCUGGUCUGAGAGGAUGAUCAGCCACACUGGGACUGAGACACGGCCCAGACUCCUACGGGAGGCAGCAGUGGGGAAUAUUGGACAAUGGGCGCAAGCCUGAUCCAGCAAUGCCGCGUGAGUGAUGAAGGCCUUAGGGUUGUAAAGCUCUUUCGCCCGCGACGAUGAUGACGGUAGCGGGAGAAGAAGCCCCGGCUAACUUCGUGCCAGCAGCCGCGGUAAUACGAAGGGGGCGAGCGUUGUUCGGAUUUACUGGGCGUAAAGGGCGCGUAGGCGGCCUUCCAAGUCAGGCGUGAAAGCCCCGGGCUCAACCUGGGAGGUGCGCUUGGGACUGGCGGGCUGGAGUUCGGGAGAGGAGCGUGGAAUUCCCAGUGUAGAGGUGAAAUUCGUAGAUAUUGGGAAGAACACCGGUGGCGAAGCGGCGCUCUGGACCGAGACUGACGCUGAGGCGCGAAGGCGUGGGGAGCAAACAGGAUUAGAUACCCUAGUAGUCC
RNAcentral lists this ribosomal RNA (776 nucleotides) under uncultured bacterium. Its description in RNAcentral is "bacterial SSU rRNA". It matches the Rfam family "Bacterial small subunit ribosomal RNA", at positions 8 to 796 of the family's 1533-position model. The record is from RNAcentral.